RNAcentral lists this unclassified non-coding RNA (354 nucleotides) under Hevea brasiliensis (rubber tree). Lineage: Eukaryota; Viridiplantae; Streptophyta; Magnoliopsida; Malpighiales; Euphorbiaceae. The record is from RNAcentral.
GUCAAUAUGUCCUCGAUUAUCAGCGAAGUUUGAGUGGUAAUGCAAUCGAGUAGCCUCAAGCAUCUUUGAAACCUCUUGUGCAUUCUCGGAAGCUUUAAGGAAGUGAUCAUCAAUCUCGCCUAAAACUUUAAAGAAAUCAGCAUUGUUACCAUACACAACAUUCCCACCUCCCAUUACUACUCCACCUCUCAUCUCAGAAGGCGCAGUGUUUGAAUGCUUAAAGACUCUCUCUGGUUCAUCUGCCGUUGGAGUCUCUUCAACCUCACUCUCCACUUUCCCCUUCUUCUCUGGUGUCUUGAACUGAUCAUCUCUAUACUCAUUUCUACCCAUAUUAUCAAAUCUUUUGUUUUGAAU